This 204-nucleotide microRNA precursor is filed under the name Oryza sativa Indica Group (long-grained rice). RNAcentral's name for it is "MIR812 microRNA precursor family". It matches the Rfam family "MIR812 microRNA precursor family". The record is from Rfam by way of RNAcentral. Lineage: Eukaryota; Viridiplantae; Streptophyta; Magnoliopsida; Poales; Poaceae.
AAUAGAUGACGCCAUUGACUUUUUCUCACAUGUUUGACCAUUCGUCGUAUUCAAAAAAUUUAUGUAAUUAUAAUUUAUUUUGUUAUGAGUUGUUUUAUUACUCAUAAUACUUUAAGUGUGAUUUAUAUCUUAUACAUUUGCAUAAAAUUUUUUAAUAAAAUGAAUGGUCAAACAUGUCAGAAAAAGUCAACAGCGUCAUCUAUU